RNAcentral lists this long non-coding RNA (1095 nucleotides) under Anas platyrhynchos platyrhynchos (common mallard). Its description in RNAcentral is "lncRNA (ENSAPLG00000019274.1)". Lineage: Eukaryota; Metazoa; Chordata; Aves; Anseriformes; Anatidae. The record is from RNAcentral.
UUUCAGACUUCAAGCUACUUGCACUACUGUAAAGUUUUCACUACUUGGAACAAUAAAAAUUACAGAAAUCUCAAAGGUAAGAUAGCAAGAACUGUCCGUCUUUAUCAACAACACAACAGGAAUGAAGGUGAGAUGUGAUUACAGAUGCCUCUCUUGUAAAGAAGCCAGAAGAGAGAGAAUUAAGCAACGAGUCAGUGCUAGUUUGAUUUUUUGCAUCAACACAGCAUAAGAGAAAGAAGGCAGAGUGUGGAAAGCUGUCUUAGAGCCUUUGCAGAGCAAGGAUCUUGAGGUGUCUGUAGAGAGGAAUGAACAAACUGAAAAAGCCAUAAUUUUGUUGCCCAUGUGAACUACAGCAACAGAAAAUGGCCAUCCCUUAACGCUGGAUAUGUACAAGAUUAAAGCUCCUUGUAUUUUACUUUGUGAUUUCAAGCAAGGAUCACCUCCUCCAAGCUCAAGAGUAAUACAUCCCAACAAAGAAGAAGUUAGGCAAAGAUGCCAGGAGGCCUCCAUGGAGCUCCUGGCUAAAACUGAAACACAAAAAGGAAGCCUACAGAUGGUGGAAGCAAGAACAGCAAACCUGUGAAUAAUAGAGACAUUUUCUGAACAUCCAGGGAUUGAAUUAAGAAAGCUAAGGCCCAGAUAGAAUUGAAUCUUUCUAGGGACGCCAAGGGCAACAAUAAGGGUGGAGCAUCAAAGGAUGGAGCACCUCUCCAGAGGCUGAGAGAUUUGGGACUGUUCAGCCUGAAGGGAAUAUGCAAUGAGAACAGAGCCAGGCUCUUUCCAGUGGUGCCCAGUGCCAGGACAAGAAGCAAUGGGCACAAAUUGGAACACAGGAGUUUGCAUCUGAACAACAGGAAGCUCUUCUUUAAUGUGUGGGUAAUGGAGCACUGGCACAGGUUGCCCAAAGAGGUUGUCUCCCUUCUUGGAGCUCUUCAAAAGCCAUCUGUCCAUGGCAUGGGCACCCUGCUCUGGGUGCCUUUUCUUGAGCAGGACUGUUGGACCAGAUGAGCUCCAACCUCAACCACUCUGUUAUCUUGUGAGUCCAUGAUUCAAUAAUACCUUUACCACAUUGCCAGUUACUGAUUCAGAAAAAAA